CUGCAAAGUGUUUGCCUUCUAUAUCUGCAAUGGAAACCCCACCUGCUGUCUUCUUGAUGUUUUUGUUCCUUGUCUUUAAGACCUGGUCUCAAAUUCAGAAGUUCAAUACCAGCGUCAGUUUGACUUGACACAAUCUAUGGUUGUAGUGUAUUGAUUUCACAAAUUGAGCCUAUGAAAUGAAACUCUGUCAUCAAGAAGCUAUUGGACACCUAUAUGGACAUGCAUUUACCUCUCUGCCCAGUGCAAUUAUUUAUAAAUGUCUGUGGAAGAAUAGAGAGAGGAGGGAGGAAAGGAAGGGUAGAUUAUUCUGUAUCUUUCAGGAAGAGAGAGACAAGAAAAGAGAAAAUAUGAAAAACACCAGAGC
Long non-coding RNA from Gorilla gorilla gorilla (western lowland gorilla), 364 nucleotides. RefSeq lists it as uncharacterized. The record is from RefSeq and is a predicted model, not a curated record. The transcript has 3 exons. Lineage: Eukaryota; Metazoa; Chordata; Mammalia; Primates; Hominidae.